GUUUUUAUAGUUAAUAUUGAUAACAUUAACUUUUCAUGUUAAAGUAAUUACGGAUGUAAUUAAAAAUA
RNAcentral lists this transfer RNA (68 nucleotides) under Ciona savignyi (Pacific transparent sea squirt). Its description in RNAcentral is "tRNA (ENSCSAVG00000012512.1)". Lineage: Eukaryota; Metazoa; Chordata; Ascidiacea; Phlebobranchia; Cionidae. The record is from RNAcentral.